This 411-nucleotide ribosomal RNA is filed under the name uncultured beta proteobacterium. Its description in RNAcentral is "bacterial SSU rRNA". It matches the Rfam family "Bacterial small subunit ribosomal RNA", at positions 469 to 880 of the family's 1533-position model. The record is from RNAcentral. Lineage: Bacteria; Pseudomonadati; Pseudomonadota; Betaproteobacteria.
AUGACGGUACCGUAAGAAUAAGCACCGGCUAACUACGUGCCAGCAGCCGCGGUAAUACGUAGGGUGCGAGCGUUAAUCGGAAUUACUGGGCGUAAAGCGUGCGCAGGCGGUCUUGUAAGACAGAUGUGAAAUCCCCGGGCUCAACCUGGGAACUGCAUUUGUGACUGCAAGGCUAGAGUGCGGCAGAGGGGGAUGGAAUUCCGCGUGUAGCAGUGAAAUGCGUAGAUAUGCGGAGGAACACCGAUGGCGAAGGCAAUCCCCUGGGCCUGCACUGACGCUCAUGCACGAAAGCGUGGGGAGCAAACAGGAUUAGAUACCCUGGUAGUCCACGCCCUAAACGAUGUCAACUGGUUGUUGGGUCUUCACUGACUCAGUAACGAAGCUAACGCGUGAAGUUGACCGCCUGGGGAG